This 3242-nucleotide ribosomal RNA is filed under the name Micrococcus sp. CH3. RNAcentral's name for it is "bacterial LSU rRNA". It matches the Rfam family "Bacterial large subunit ribosomal RNA". The record is from RNAcentral. Lineage: Bacteria; Bacillati; Actinomycetota; Actinomycetes; Micrococcales; Micrococcaceae.
CCAAGGGCGCAUGGUGGAUGCCUUGGCAACAGGAGCCGAAGAAGGACGUGGGAAUCUGCGAUAAGCCUGGUGGAGUCGAUAACCGGACGUUGAGACCAGGAUUUCCGAAUGGGGAAACCCCGCACGACGUGUCGUGUGACCCCCGGUUGAACACAUAGACCGGGUGGAGGGAACGUGGGGAAGUGAAACAUCUCAGUACCCACAGGAAGAGAAAACAAAAGUGAUUCCGUUAGUAGUGGCGAGCGAACGCGGAUGGGGCUAAACCGUAUGUGUGUGAUACCCGGCAGGGGUUGCAUGUGCGGUGUUGUGGGCCCCUCCUUGUCAUGUCUGCCGGCAUGGCGCAGUGAGGUGCGGGCAUAUAGACGAACCAGUGUGGAUGCUGGACCGUAGAGGGUGAGAGUCCCGUAGUCGAAAUGUGUUCCGCCGCUGUUGGGGGGUUGCCCGAGUAGCACGGGGCCCGAGGAAUCCCGUGUGAAUCUGCCAGGACCACCUGGUAAGCCUGAAUACUACCUGUUGACCGAUAGCGGAUCAGUACCGUGAGGGAAUGGUGAAAAGUACCCCGGGAGGGGAGUGAAAUAGUACCUGAAACCAUGUGCCUACAAACCGUUGGAGCCUCCUUGUGGGGUGACAGCGUGCCUUUUGAAGAAUGAGCCUGCGAGUUAGUGAUACGUGGCGAGGUUAACCCGUGUGGGGAAGCCGUAGCGAAAGCGAGUCUGAAUAGGGCGAUUGAGUCGCGUGUCCUAGACCCGAAGCGGAGUGAUCUACCCAUGGCCAGGUUGAAGCGCGUGUAAGAGCGCGUGGAGGACCGAACCCACUUCAGUUGAAAAUGGAGGGGAUGAGCUGUGGGUAGGGGUGAAAGGCCAAUCAAACUCCGUGAUAGCUGGUUCUCCCCGAAAUGCAUUUAGGUGCAGCGUCACGUGUUUCUUCCCGGAGGUAGAGCUACUGGAUGGACGAUGGGCCCUACAAGGUUACUGACUUCAGCCAAACUCCGAAUGCCGGGAAGUGAGAGCGUGGCAGUGAGACUGUGGGGGAUAAGCUUCAUAGUCGAGAGGGAAACAGCCCAGACCACCGGUUAAGGCCCCUAAGCGUGUGCUAAGUGGGAAAGGAUGUGGAGUUGCUGAGACAACCAGGAGGUUGGCUUAGAAGCAGCCACCCUUGAAAGAGUGCGUAAUAGCUCACUGGUCAAGUGAUUCCGCGCCGACAAUGUAGCGGGGCUCAAGUACACCGCCGAAACCGUGGCAUUCAGUUUUGCUGGAUGGGUAGGGGAGCGUCGUUCACGAGGUGAAGCCAGCGGGUAACUUCUGGUGGAUUGUGGACGAGUGAGAAUGCAGGCAUGAGUAGCGAAAGACGGGUGAGAAACCCGUCCGCCGGAUGACUAAGGGUUCCAGGGUCAAGCUAAUCUGCCCUGGGUAAGUCGGGACCUAAGGCGAGGCCGACAGGCGUAGUCGAUGGACAACGGGUUGAUAUUCCCGUACCAGUGAAGAACCGCCCAUGCUGAGCCGGUGAUACUAACCGCCCGAACCAUCCCGAACCCCGUCUUUGACGGGGGCGGUGGUGGGGAGCGCGGGACCUGAACCGGGGAGGCAAGCGCAUUAACAGGUGUGACGCAGGAAGGUAGCCGGGCCGGGCAAUGGAAAUGACCUGGUCUAAGGGUGUAGGGCUGCCGGUAGGUAAAUCCGCCGGCUGUAUGCCUGAGACCUGAUGGGCGCCCACGUGGUGGGUGAUCCGGUGAUCCUAUGCUGCCUAGAAAAGCAUCGGCGCGAGGUUCAAACUGCCCGUACCCUAAACCGACACAGGUGGUCAGGUAGAGAAUACUAAGGCGAUCGAGAGAAUCAUGGUUAAGGAACUCGGCAAAAUGCCCCCGUAACUUCGGGAGAAGGGGGGCCCCAACCUUGAGCACCACGUGCUGGUGUGAGGGGAUCGGGGCCGCAGAGACCAGGGGGAAGCGACUGUUUAUCAAAAACACAGGUCCAUGCGAAGUCGUAAGACGAUGUAUAUGGACUGACUCCUGCCCGGUGCUGGAAGGUUAAGGGGACCUGUUAGCUUCGGCGAAGCGGAGAACUUAAGCCCCAGUAAACGGCGGUGGUAACUAUAACCAUCCUAAGGUAGCGAAAUUCCUUGUCGGGUAAGUUCCGACCUGCACGAAUGGAGUAACGACUUCCCCGCUGUCUCAACCAUGAACUCGGCGAAAUUGCAUUACGAGUAAAGAUGCUCGUUACGCGCAGAAGGACGGAAAGACCCCGUGACCUUUACUAUAGUUUGGUAUUGGUAUUCGGUGUGACUUGUGUAGGAUAGGUGGGAGACUGUGAAGCGGGCACGCCAGUGUUCGUGGAGUCGCNNNNNNNNNNCGAAAUUGCAUUACGAGUAAAGAUGCUCGUUACGCGCAGAAGGACGGAAAGACCCCGUGACCUUUACUAUAGUUUGGUAUUGGUGUUCGGUGUGACUUGUGUAGGAUAGGUGGGAGACUGUGAAGCGGGCACGCCAGUGUUCGUGGAGUCAUCGUUGAAAUACCACUCUGGUCACUCUGGAUAUCUAACUUCGGCCCGUGAUCCGGGUCAGGGACAGUGCCUGAUGGGUAGUUUAACUGGGGCGGUUGCCUCCUAAAAUGUAACGGAGGCGCCCAAAGGUUCCCUCAGCCUGGUUGGCAAUCAGGUGUCGAGUGCAAGUGCACAAGGGAGCUUGACUGUGAGAGUGGCAGCUCGAGCAGGGACGAAAGUCGGGACUAGUGAUCCGGCGGCUCGUUGUGGAACGGCCGUCGCUCAACGGAUAAAAGGUACCUCGGGGAUAACAGGCUGAUCUUGCCCAAGAGUCCAUAUCGACGGCAUGGUUUGGCACCUCGAUGUCGGCUCGUCGCAUCCUGGGGCUGGAGUAGGUCCCAAGGGUUGGGCUGUUCGCCCAUUAAAGCGGUACGCGAGCUGGGUUCAGAACGUCGUGAGACAGUUCGGUCCCUAUCCUCUGCGCGCGUUGGAAAUUUGAGAAGGUCUGUCCUUAGUACGAGAGGACCGGGACGGACGAACCUCUGGUAUGUCAGUUGUACCGCCAGGUGCAUGGCUGAUUAGCUACGUUCGGGAUGGAUAACCGCUGAAAGCAUCUAAGCGGGAAGCCGCCUUCGAGAUGAGAUUUCCUUGCCCCUUUGAGGGUGUGAGGCCCCCAGCUAGAACACUGGGUUGAUAGGCUGGAUGUGGAAGCGAGGACUGAAGACUCGUGAAGCUGACCAGUACUAAUAGGCCGAUGACUUACAC